UAGGGAAUCUUCCACAAUGGGCGCAAGCCUGAUGGAGCAACACCGCGUGAGUGAAGAAGGGUUUCGGCUCGUAAAGCUCUGUUGUUGGAGAUGAACGUGCGUGAGAGUAACUGUUCACGCAGUGACGGUAUCCAACCAGAAAGUCACGGCUAACUACGUGCC
This 162-nucleotide ribosomal RNA is filed under the name uncultured bacterium. RNAcentral's name for it is "partial 16S ribosomal RNA". It matches the Rfam family "Bacterial small subunit ribosomal RNA", at positions 355 to 509 of the family's 1533-position model. The record is from RNAcentral.